This 141-nucleotide ribosomal RNA is filed under the name uncultured bacterium. RNAcentral describes it as "partial 16S ribosomal RNA". It matches the Rfam family "Bacterial small subunit ribosomal RNA", at positions 335 to 473 of the family's 1533-position model. The record is from RNAcentral.
ACUCCUACGGGAGGCAGCAGUGAGGAAUAUUGGUCAAUGGCCGAGAGGCUGAACCAGCCAAGUAGCGUGAAGGAUGAAGGUUCUAUGGAUUGUAAACUUCUUUUAUACGGGAAUAACAUCACCUACGUGUAGGUGCCUGCA